CACGUAGGGCGCGAGCGUUGUCCGGAAUUAUUGGGCGUAAAGAGCGUGUAGGCGGCCAGACAGGUCCGUUGUGAAAACUGGAGGCUCAACCUCCAGACGUCGAUGGAAACCGUCUGGCUAGAGUCCGGAAGAGGAGAGUGGAAUUCCUGGUGUAGCGGUGAAAUGCGCAGAUAUCAGGAAGAACACCCGUGGCGAAAGCGGCUCUCUGGGACGGUACUGACGCUGAGACGCGAAAGCGUGGGGAGCGAACAGG
Molecule: ribosomal RNA, 253 nt
Filed under: uncultured bacterium
Lineage: Bacteria
Description: partial 16S ribosomal RNA
Rfam family: Bacterial small subunit ribosomal RNA
Source: RNAcentral